RNAcentral lists this transfer RNA (67 nucleotides) under Trichobilharzia szidati. Its description in RNAcentral is "tRNA-Gly". The record is from RNAcentral. Lineage: Eukaryota; Metazoa; Platyhelminthes; Trematoda; Strigeidida; Schistosomatidae.
AUGGCGAUAGCAUAAGAUGUAUUGUGCUUUCUUUCCAAGUAAGUGGUCUCUUUAGAGAGUUGUCAUA